CGUGUAGGCUGCUUGGAAAGUCGGAUGUGAAAGCCCUGGGCUCAACCUAGGAAGUGCAUUCGAAACUUCCAAGCUCGAGUUUCGGAGAGGAAGGCGGAAUUCUCGGUGUAGAGGUGAAAUUCGUAGAUAUCGAGAGGAACACCGGUGGCGAAGGCGGCCUUCUGGACGAUAACUGACGCUGAGACGCGAAAGCGUGGGGAGCAAACA
This 207-nucleotide ribosomal RNA is filed under the name uncultured delta proteobacterium. RNAcentral describes it as "partial 16S ribosomal RNA". It matches the Rfam family "Bacterial small subunit ribosomal RNA", at positions 568 to 774 of the family's 1533-position model. The record is from RNAcentral. Lineage: Bacteria; Deltaproteobacteria.